RNAcentral lists this ribosomal RNA (498 nucleotides) under uncultured bacterium. Its description in RNAcentral is "bacterial SSU rRNA". It matches the Rfam family "Bacterial small subunit ribosomal RNA", at positions 501 to 1000 of the family's 1533-position model. The record is from RNAcentral.
CUACGUGCCAGCAGCCGCGGUAAUACGGAGGGUGCGAGCGUUAAUCGGAAUAACUGGGCGUAAAGGGCACGCAGGCGGACUUUUAAGUGAGGUGUGAAAGCCCCGGGCUUAACCUGGGAAUUGCAUUUCAGACUGGGAGUCUAGAGUACUUUAGGGAGGGGUAGAAUUCCACGUGUAGCGGUGAAAUGCGUAGAGAUGUGGAGGAAUACCGAAGGCGAAGGCAGCCCCUUGGGAAUGUACUGACGCUCAUGUGCGAAAGCGUGGGGAGCAAACAGGAUUAGAUACCCUGGUAGUCCACGCUGUAAACGAUGUCGAUUUGGGGGUUGAACUUUGAGUUUGGCGCCCGUAGCUAACGUGAUAAAUCGACCGCCUGGGGAGUACGGCCGCAAGGUUAAAACUCAAAUGAAUUGACGGGGGCCCGCACAAGCGGUGGAGCAUGUGGUUUAAUUCGAUGCAACGCGAAGAACCUUACCUACUCUUGACAUCCAGAGAACAUUC